This 305-nucleotide ribosomal RNA is filed under the name Desulfovibrio desulfuricans. RNAcentral's name for it is "bacterial SSU rRNA". It matches the Rfam family "Bacterial small subunit ribosomal RNA", at positions 173 to 465 of the family's 1533-position model. Lineage: Bacteria; Pseudomonadati; Thermodesulfobacteriota; Desulfovibrionia; Desulfovibrionales; Desulfovibrionaceae. The record is from RNAcentral.
UACGCUCAAAAUGAACUUUUUGAGGAAAGAUGGCCUCUGCUUGCAUGCUAUCGCGUAAGGAUGAGUCCGCGUCCCAUUAGCUUGUUGGCGGGGUAACGGCCCACCAAGGCAACGAUGGGUAGCCGAUUUGAGAGGAUGAUCGGCCACACUGGAACUGAAACACGGUCCAGACUCCUACGGGAGGCAGCAAUGGGGAAUAUUGCGCAAUGGGCGAAAGCCUGACGCAGCGACGCCGCGUGAGGGAUGAAGGUUUUCGGAUCGUAAACCUCUGUCAGAAGGGAAGAAACUACGUUGUGCUAAUCAGC